Paramuricea clavata is the source of this 449-nucleotide non-coding RNA. Lineage: Eukaryota; Metazoa; Cnidaria; Anthozoa; Malacalcyonacea; Plexauridae. The record is from the annotation of a GenBank genome assembly.
AUCGGGACCACGUAGGCCCUACGAAUACGCUGAAUAGUGAUUUUUGGGAUUGUCUGCGGGAAAUUUCAAUUAAAUACCACAUUUACUUUCUCGAGCUUUCCGAUAGCUCGCCACCUCGAUCUUGUGGACAAUGUGUGGAAGUGACAACCGCCCUUUCCAUGAGCCUCCGAAAUUCCCACCUACUGGGUGCUCCUUCCUACCCAUGCGUCGACAAUUAUAUCUGCAAAUUCUGCUCUAGAAAGAUGUGAAAUGUCACAUUUACUAUAAGUGAUUAUAAAGCAAACGUUCUUUACCUUCGGAGUACCCGGCCUUUACCCGCAUGCGAAAGUAACCGGAUGUUCUUUUACUAUGCUAUAAAUUAACAGUAAGUGUGACAUAUCUAGCGUAAAAUAUUCCCGAUACCUAUCUUUAUUGACGGACUAUAACUUCUCAAAUGACCUACGUGUGCU